GGUAGGGUUUCAUUGUGGUAGGGUUUCAAUGCAGUGGAGAGAAGACGACGACGAGUUUCUGUACCGUGGGAGAAAAGACGAAGACGACAGGUUUCUGUCUGUCAGUGUGUUCAUUUUCGUAGUUUGGUGUUUUUGUGUGCUUUGGUUCGUUACGUAAUUGUUGGAGAUCAGUCGUUGAUUGGAGGUGGAGAACGAUUACAAAAUUUCUUUCUCAAGCAGAUGGAUAAAUUCAUGUUGUUGGUGUGCUCAUAGGAGUGUAGUACUAUUGUAAUAAAUGUGGAGCAAGCUCUGUCUUUUUCACUUUUCGUGGAGUGUGU
This is a long non-coding RNA of Camellia sinensis, 317 nucleotides long. RefSeq lists it as uncharacterized. Lineage: Eukaryota; Viridiplantae; Streptophyta; Magnoliopsida; Ericales; Theaceae. The record is from RefSeq and is a predicted model, not a curated record.